UCCGAUAUGGUGUAACGGCUAACAUUGCUGCCUUUCAAGUGAUUUAUCACAAGCAUCGCAGCGGCUCGGGGUUCGAUUCCCCGUAUCGGAA
This 91-nucleotide transfer RNA is filed under the name Aspergillus ustus. It matches the Rfam family "tRNA". From Rfam's summary of the family: Transfer RNA (tRNA) molecules are approximately 80 nucleotides in length. The record is from Rfam by way of RNAcentral. Lineage: Eukaryota; Fungi; Ascomycota; Eurotiomycetes; Eurotiales; Aspergillaceae. RNAcentral also lists the same sequence under 1 other name.